GGAUAACCUACCUAUAAGACUGGGAUAACUUCGGGAAACCGGAGCUAAUACCGGAUAACAUAUUGAACCGCAUGGUUCAAUAGUGAAAGGCGGCUUUGCUGUCACUUAUAGAUGGAUCCGCGCCGUAUUAGCUAGUUGGUAAGGUAACGGCUUACCAAGGCAACGAUACGUAGCCGACCUGAGAGGGUGAUCGGCCACACUGGAACUGAGACACGGUCCAGACUCCUACGGGAGGCAGCAGUAGGGAAUCUUCCGCAAUGGGCGAAAGCCUGACGGAGCAACGCCGCGUGAGUGAUGAAGGUCUUCGGAUCGUAAAACUCUGUUAUCAGGGAAGAACAAAUGUGUAAGUAACUGUGCACAUCUUGACGGUACCUGAUCAGAAAGCCACGGCUAACUACGUGCCAGCAGCCGCGGUAAUACGUAGGUGGCAAGCGUUAUCCGGAAUUAUUGGGCGUAAAGCGCGCGUAGGCGGUUUUUUAAGUCUGAUGUGAAAGCCCACGGCUCAACCGUGGAGGGUCAUUGGAAACUGGAAAACUUGAGUGCAGAAGAGGAAAGUGGAAUUCCAUGU
RNAcentral lists this ribosomal RNA (568 nucleotides) under uncultured bacterium. RNAcentral's name for it is "bacterial SSU rRNA". It matches the Rfam family "Bacterial small subunit ribosomal RNA", at positions 119 to 674 of the family's 1533-position model. The record is from RNAcentral.